Cinara cedri is the source of this 3375-nucleotide non-coding RNA. The record is from the annotation of a GenBank genome assembly. NCBI's taxonomy places the organism in Eukaryota, Metazoa, Arthropoda, Insecta, Hemiptera, Aphididae.
CGAAUUUUGAAUAAAACAUUAAAAUACGAUGUUCGGAAUAAUGUGUUCGUAAGUGUUCCGUUUAUUUGUUUUGUUGCGCGCGGGGUUUAAACAAUAGUACUUCUAAUAAUUUACAGACCAAUAAACAUGUCAUUUUAUACAUACGAGUACAUAUAUCCUAUGUGAAAGUGCAAAACAUACGCUAGUGGAUAUCGUUCGAAACACGUUACGCAUACACAUGCCAUCUUAUCGCAUAUAGUAUAAAAUGUACAUUCAUAGAGUACACACACAUACACACACACACACACACUAUUGAUACGUUCCAAUAAUGGAGAAAUGUUUUCUUGUAAAAUAUAGAUCGUUUAAUACCUUUACAAUAAUAGUAGGAAACGGUUUAAAAGUAUUUUUUCUUUAUUUAUUUAUUUAUUUUUUUUUUUUUUUAAAUGUACUCGAAACGUUAUAUACUAGAAACUUUUUCAACUGCACGUUUUGAGCAUAUAAGUAUUGUAUUUUUAUCACAAAAUACGUUUACACCAUUGAUGUAGUGGAUCGUAUACCCUAUACGCGGGCAUAUGCGUACACCUACUCACUUUUCGAUUUUUUUUCGACACGGAAAUAUAAUAUCGUGUCACGUUUGGACACUAUUUUUCUAGAUUUUGAGCGGAUGUUUGCUAUUUUUUUUUUUUUUUAUUUGUUAAUAAUUUUUCUACCAGAAAUCUUGCUCCGAUUUUCCAGGAGUAAUACUUUAAGAAGGUUAAUUUUUUAAUUUCCCAUACAACGUUAGAAAAACGGAAAAAUUUACAAAAUAUAUUAUUUUUAAAUAGUAAAUAUAACAAUCUUUCAAAAUAUGUAUAAACGAAUUCCGCUCAGGAUCGUUUUUCAUUAGCAAUAGUUUAUCGUUUCGUACAGAUAAAAAGUAAAUUUCCCCUCUACCUUCUCAACUUCUCACCUACAAAAGUGUUUAGUUUAUUAAGUAAAACUGUUAAAAAUCAUAUUCGUCAUAUUAUAAUUUUUUUUUAGAUUCAGAGAAUAUUUAAUAUUGCAUUAUCUUAAUUCUAAAGUUAAUAGAUGAAUACAGUAGGCAAUUUAUAUAAUACUAUAGCUAUCCCAACGUUGCCUGUGCCAAUUCAAUUCUCAUUUUUUUUUUUUUUUUUUUUUUGAUAAAUUAAAAACAGAAUCAAAAGCAGAAUUUUUGAAAAUCCUUUCAAUAACCAAAAUCAAUAAAAGAGAUUCAAUUAAACAUGUCCCCCUCUUUAUUUUAUCCAAAACCGUAGAUAUAAUAAUACGCUUUUUUAUUAUUAUGUGACACCCACGUUACCAUAGUGACCAACAAAAAUAAUUCGAUUUUCGUUACAAAAAUAUCAAAAACUCCGUUUCAAUCAACCUUUACGAGUAUUUAUUUUGGAAAUCCGGUAUCGAGGCGCACACAGACCCGUUCAUCCGCUUCAGUAUAUACGUGUUAAGAUUUCUGUGUACAAUAAAUUCAGCAGUGGAUCGCACAGACAGACAGACACUUCCUUAUUAUAAGAUAAUUAUUUACAUGAGUAUCAAUGCUGAUAUUAAAAUUAUACUUCCGAGCGCAUUAAACUGAACAAAAUAUAUAUAUAUAUAUAUAUAAAAAAAAAAAAUGUUUGUUGACUCCUGGGUUACAUAUACGCAAUACAAGGGAACAAAAACACAACUAAUUACUCCGAAAGUAACUCCUGCUCAGCAUUGUUUUUUGAUUGCAACGUGAUUUAUCGUUGCUUUCAGUAUGAUAUACAUUAAAUUACCCCCUGUAUCCUAAAUUAUACUUAAAACAUACUUCCCUCCUAUACUGCAUUGACCCCACGGAUUAUUAUUUUUUUUAUUAUUAUUAUUGUUAUAUUAAAAAAAAAAAAUAGUACCCGAGACAGUUAGUAUGUCGUUGUGAGUUAUAGGAAAUAAAAAAUUAUGUUAAAUUAUUAUUAUUGUAUAUUGCACGCGCGCGUUUUUGCGACACUCUCGAAGGAUGCACGAAACCGGGACCACUAUACUUAUUACUUAUAUUACGUUUCGAUUAUUGAUUUGAGUAAAAGGAAAACGCGCGAUACGAAAUACUAUUUUUGUUGAGUUCUACAACGAUACCGGACAUCGUGGGAAAUUUUAAAAAGUGGAACAUAAUAUUAUAUUGUAAACUAAAAUUCUAGUAAUUUUAUUUUAGAAACGCAUCGUAUUAAAGUAAAAAAAAAAUUGUUUAGAUUUUAAUUCCUAUAUAGGGAUAUAAUAUAUAUGUAAAUGUUCGAAUAAAAAAUCCAAAAACAAAAAAUUAACGUGGACCAAAAAAAGCCAAAACUGAAAAAUCCACGGACAGCGAAUCUGAAACCACUCGAAAAUCCAAUUUUUUCACGCCACGUUUCAAACGUGUAACCUAACGUGUCCUAAGAUGGUUUUAAGAAACGUUUUAUUUUCUUAAUUAUUUGUAUAUUGUAUAAAAUAUCUAAAAUGUAUGUAAACGGUUGGAUUUUUUUAACUGUGGGUUUUUAUUUUUUUGUCCUUGGUUCAUAAUUAAUAAUUAUUAUACAAUAUAUUUAUAUAGUGGGUAUAUCGUUUGAUAAUUUGUAUUGUAAAUUAUUAAUAUGGCUGAAAAAAACCAGCCCGUAUAAUAUUAUGUUGUUCGAUAGUAUAUAUCGUCGGCUACCCAGCAAAACCUCAUAAAUUGUUGUUUUUAUUUUAUAUUAUUAUUUUCGUGUCUGUAAAACAACACUUUUCUACCGGAUAUCUUGCUCCAAUCAAACACUUUAUAGGGACUUUAUUGUGGCGGCAUUUUUUUUUUUAUCUAACCUGUGCCCUUAAGGUGGUCAUAUUUAAUGAUUUUCCUUGUUGAAAUUUCCAAACAACGGUUUUGUGAAAUUUGUUGAAAUCAACUUACGAGAUUUUGCUGGGUAGCCGACGCUAUUAUAUUUUGUGUACGUGUAUAAUAUUAAUUGAUCGUAUUAUUUUAAAUCAUAGACCAUUAUUGAUAAUAACAUAUUCAUGUCGGGUUAACUUAAUGAUAUUAUAAUUAUAUUGUAAUUGAAAAAAAAAAAAAAAAAAAAAAAAAAAAAAAGAUAGCGUUAUUUUCUUAUAAAAAUAUUAUGGUGUACAACAAAUUCUAUGAACGCAAUAUAUUAUAUAAUUAUACUUGCGAAAUGUCACACGCUAAGAUUUCGGUAUAAAUUCAUAAUUAAUAUUAUUGUUGUACGCGAUAUUGUUCUGCAACUGUGGGAACAAUACGAGUUAAAAAUAGAGACUUAUAUUAUAUACGAUUAUUAUUAUUAUUAUUAUUGUCUUACCUAUACUGCUCUCGGACCCUUGUAAUAAUCUUUUUUGUAUACCUGAAAACCUUAUUUUACAUAUAUAUAUAUAUAUUAUAUAUUAACAAUAUUAUAUUAGCGU